GGGGCGAUAGCUCAGUUGGUAAGCGAACCUAGCUCAUUGAAGAUUGAUAACGAUUACUAAAACCCUCAAUAGGGAGAGCGUCAGACUGAAGUUAAACUUCAUUCUAUCAGAUAGAUAUCUGAAGGUCACCGGUUCAAUCCCGGUUCGUCCCA
Xylogone sp. PMI_703 is the source of this 152-nucleotide non-coding RNA. Lineage: Eukaryota; Fungi; Ascomycota; Leotiomycetes. The record is from the annotation of a GenBank genome assembly.